RNAcentral lists this ribosomal RNA (433 nucleotides) under Roseateles sp. Its description in RNAcentral is "bacterial SSU rRNA". It matches the Rfam family "Bacterial small subunit ribosomal RNA", at positions 49 to 479 of the family's 1533-position model. The record is from RNAcentral. Lineage: Bacteria; Pseudomonadati; Pseudomonadota; Betaproteobacteria; Burkholderiales; Sphaerotilaceae.
UUACACAUGCAAGUCGAACGGUAACGCGGGGCAACCUGGCGACGAGUGGCGAACGGGUGAGUAAUGUAUCGGAACGUGCCCAGUUGUGGGGGAUAACUGCUCGAAAGAGCAGCUAAUACCGCAUACGACCUGAGGGUGAAAGCGGGGGAUCGCAAGACCUCGCGCAGUUGGAGCGGCCGAUAUCAGAUUAGGUAGUUGGUGGGGUAAAGGCUCACCAAGCCAACGAUCUGUAGCUGGUCUGAGAGGACGACCAGCCACACUGGGACUGAGACACGGCCCAGACUCCUACGGGAGGCAGCAGUGGGGAAUUUUGGACAAUGGGGGCAACCCUGAUCCAGCCAUGCCGCGUGCGGGAAGAAGGCCUUCGGGUUGUAAACCGCUUUUGUCAGGGAAGAAAAGACUCCUGUUAAUACCGGGGGUUCAUGACGGUACC